Molecule: long non-coding RNA, 492 nt
Organism: Papaver somniferum (opium poppy)
Lineage: Eukaryota; Viridiplantae; Streptophyta; Magnoliopsida; Ranunculales; Papaveraceae
Exons: 3
Source: RefSeq, a predicted model, not a curated record
UUUAUUCUAUCAUUUUCCCCGACACUUUACUGAUUAUCAAUAUCGUAAAAGAAGGAAUUUUGGUUUCAAAAUAAUAUCGACUCACUGGAUCUGGUUACAUACUGGUAUUGAUUCAAGAUAUCGUGAUGUGCGAAGUAUAUAGCCUUAAGCUCCGUACGGAAGAAGAAGAAUCGCAGCAAGAGGACAACACGAAUUAAGAAUAAUUUAGCAUAGCUUGUAGGCUAUGUGUUGACAAUUGCCGAUGUCGUUAAGGAUCGGAUAUAGCCAGUACUACUAUAGACUUGAGGAAUUCAACAGGGUUGUGGGAAACGAUAAAAAGUUCAGUGGGAUGUCAGUUCCUCUCCAAGUAGAGAAGUGGUUGAUGGUAAUUAAGAAUGAGUUCGAUGUUACGCAAGUAAUUAAGGAGAAGAAUAUUAGGCUUGCGUUAAGACUUGUAUCGAGACGUCUUACAUGUCCGGAAGUAAGAGCACAACAUCAAUGACCAGAGGGGCC